UACAGAGGGUGCGAGCGUUAAUCGGAAUUACUGGGCGUAAAGGGUGCGUAGGUGGUUGAAUAAGUUAGGUGUGAAAGCCCCGGGCUUAACCUGGGAAUUGCGCCUAAUACUGUUCAACUGGAGUACUGUAGAGGGAGGUGGAAUUUCCGGUGUAGCGGUGAAAUGCGUAGAUAUCGGAAGGAACAUCAGUGGCGAAGGCGACUUCCUGGACAGAUACUGACACUGAGGCACGAAAGCGUGGGGAGCAAACAGG
Molecule: ribosomal RNA, 253 nt
Filed under: uncultured bacterium
Lineage: Bacteria
Description: partial 16S ribosomal RNA
Rfam family: Bacterial small subunit ribosomal RNA
Source: RNAcentral